CCUGCCGUUGCCGGCGACCGGCGCACGGGUGAGUAACACGUAUGCAACCUGCCCGUGGCAGGGGGAUAAGCGGGGGAAACCCCGUCUAAUACCGCGUAACGCGGCCUUGGGGCAUCCCAAGGCCGCCAAAGGGAGCAAUCCCGGCCACGGAUGGGCAUGCGGCGCAUUAGCUAGUCGGCGGGGUAACGGCCCACCGAGGCGACGAUGCGUAGGGGUUCUGAGAGGAAGGUCCCCCACAUUGGAACUGAGACACGGUCCAAACUCCUACGGGAGGCAGCAG
RNAcentral lists this ribosomal RNA (280 nucleotides) under uncultured bacterium. RNAcentral describes it as "partial 16S ribosomal RNA". It matches the Rfam family "Bacterial small subunit ribosomal RNA", at positions 74 to 354 of the family's 1533-position model. The record is from RNAcentral.